AGAGUUUGAUCAUGGCUCAGAAUGAACGCUGGCGGCGCGCCUAAUACAUGCAAGUCGAGCGAGAAGACGUAGCAAUACGUUUGUAAAGCGGCGAACGGGUGAGGAAUACAUGGGUAACCUACCCUCGAGUGGGGAAUAACUAGCCGAAAGGUUAGCUAAUACCGCGUAUGCUCCUUGGACUUCGGUUCAGGGAGGAAAGCGAUACCGUGGGUAUCGCGCUCUUGGAUGGGCCCAUGUCCUAUCAGCUUGUUGGUGAGGUAACGGCUCACCAAGGCUUCGACGGGUAGCUGGUCUGAGAGGACGAUCAGCCACACUGGCACUGCGACACGGGCCAGACUCCUACGGGAGGCAGCAGUGGGGAAUCUUGCGCAAUGCGCGAAAGCGUGACGCAGCAACGCCGCGUGAGGGAAGACGGCCUUCGGGUUGUAAACCUCUUUCAGGAGGGACGAAGGUCCGCCCGCGAAUAGCGAGGCGGAUUGACGGUACCUCCAGAAGAAGCCCCGGCUAACUACGUGCCAGCAGCCGCGGUAAUACGUAGGGGGCAAGCGUUGUCCGGAAUCAUUGGGCGUAAAGCGCGCGUAGGCGGCCCGGUAAGUCCGCUGUAAAAGUCAAAGGCUCAACCUUUGAAUGCCGGUGGAUACUGUCGGGCUAGAGUCCGGAAGAGGCGAGUGGAAUUCCUGGUGUAGCGGUGGAAUGCGCAGAUAUCAGGAGGAACACCAAUAGCGAAGGCAGCUCGCUGGGACGGUACUGACGCUAAGGCGCGAAAGCGUGGGGAGCAAACAGGAUUAGAUACCCUGGUAGUCCACGCCGUAAACGAUGGGCACUAGGUGUGGGAGGUGUCGACUCCUCCCGUGCCGUCGCUAACGCACUAAGUGCCCCGCCUGGGGAGUACGGCCGCAAGGCUAAAACUCAAAGGAAUUGACGG
This 925-nucleotide ribosomal RNA is filed under the name uncultured bacterium. RNAcentral describes it as "bacterial SSU rRNA". It matches the Rfam family "Bacterial small subunit ribosomal RNA", at positions 8 to 916 of the family's 1533-position model. The record is from RNAcentral.